GACGGCCAUACCAUGCUGAAUAUACCGGUUCUCGCUAGAUCACGCAUCAUUGGGCGCGGUCAGUACUUGGGUGGGUGACCACCUGGGAACACCGCGUGCCGUU
Molecule: ribosomal RNA, 103 nt
Filed under: Caerostris extrusa
Lineage: Eukaryota; Metazoa; Arthropoda; Arachnida; Araneae; Araneidae
Source: RNAcentral